Molecule: transfer RNA, 829 nt
Filed under: uncultured Synechococcus sp.
Lineage: Bacteria; Bacillati; Cyanobacteriota; Cyanophyceae; Synechococcales; Synechococcaceae
Description: partial contains 16S ribosomal RNA, 16S-23S ribosomal RNA intergenic spacer, and 23S ribosomal RNA
Rfam family: tRNA (bases 266-338)
Source: RNAcentral
UGGAUCACCUCCUAACAGGGAGACAAUAAAUUGAUUGUGAUGUCUAAGUUAUUUAUUCUUAGGCCGCAAUCCUGUCACCUUAAGGUCGAUCGGUACCUCAGAUUUUUGAAUUAAUUUUAUAAUUGAUUCCUUGAUUUCAGUUCCUAAACUUGUCUAGGUCACACCCAACAAAGUUUUCUCCUGGGCCAUUAGCUCAGGUGGUUAGAGCGCACCCCUGAUAAGGGUGAGGUCCCUGGUUCAAGUCCAGGAUGGCCCAUUCGGUGUUGGGGGUUUAGCUCAGUUGGUAGAGCGCCUGCUUUGCAAGCAGGAUGUCAGGAGUUCGAGUCUCCUAACCUCCACUGACCGAACUUGAUUCCCAUCUCCAAUUCUUUUGGAGUUGAGCUCGAUUGGAGUGUGAUUUAGAUGUGUCCGCUGGAUGACCCCAGCUUCCUGUCAUUCCAAGUUUUAGGUUAAAGCCUUGAAUUUGGUUGAUAAGAUGCUGGGCUCGGAUCAAAUGAUCAAGCAAUUGAUGAUUUGGUUUGAAGUUCUAGCAGAACCUUGACAACUGCAUAGGUGAAGUCUGGAAAAAACAAAGCAUCUUACAGAUGCAUUGUUUUGAAUCUGAUCUUCUGAAAGGGAGAUUAGAUCUAGAACAAUGAAAAUUCUUUUGAGCAAGAGCCGAGACUCUUGAGCGUUCUUUGAUUCGUGUCGAGCGAAUCAGAGUUUGAUCUUGUUUUUAGCAAUAAAAACUUGAGAAUCUGCUUUCAACGGCGGUAAGCGUUCAGGAGGUUAAUUGGUCAAGCUACAAAGGGCUCACGGCGGAUACCUUGGCACACAGAGGCGAUGAAGG